GACGAACGCUGGCGGCGUGCUUAACACAUGCAAGUCGAACGGAAAGGCCCUGCUUUUGUGGGGUGCUCGAGUGGCGAACGGGUGAGUAACACGUGAGUAACCUGCCCUUGACUUUGGGAUAACUUCAGGAAACUGGGGCUAAUACCGGAUAGGAGCUCCUGCUGCAUUGUGGGGGUUGGAAAGUUUCGGCGGUUGGGGAUGGACUCGCGGCUUAUCAGCUUGUUGGUGGGGUAGUGGCUUACCAAGGCUUUGACGGGUAGCCGGCCUGAGAGGGUGACCGGCCACAGUGGGACUGAGAUACGGCCAAGACGCAUACGGGAGGAAGCAGUGGGGAAUAUUGCACAAUGGGCGGAAGCAGGAUGCAGCAACGCCGCGUGCGGGAUGACGGCCUUCGGGGUGUAAACCGCUUUCGCCUGUGACGAAGCGUGAGUGACGGUAAUGGGCAAAGAAGCACCGGUAAAUUACGU
RNAcentral lists this ribosomal RNA (467 nucleotides) under uncultured bacterium. RNAcentral's name for it is "partial 16S ribosomal RNA". It matches the Rfam family "Bacterial small subunit ribosomal RNA", at positions 28 to 506 of the family's 1533-position model. The record is from RNAcentral.